ACCAUGCCCAGCUAAUUUUUCAUUUUGGGAGACGGAGUGUCACCUUGUUGGUUAGAGUGGUUUCGAACUCCUGACCUCAGGUGAUCCACCCACCUCGGCCUCCCAAAGUGCUGGGAUUACAGACGUGA
Molecule: long non-coding RNA, 128 nt
Organism: Cebus imitator (Panamanian white-faced capuchin)
Lineage: Eukaryota; Metazoa; Chordata; Mammalia; Primates; Cebidae
Exons: 3
Source: RefSeq, a predicted model, not a curated record